AUGCCAAGAAAAGGUCAAAGGUCGCAGUCCCAGAAGCUUAGAUGGCAAAAGCAGAAAGAACAGGUAAAUGUUUCUCAGAGCAGUGAGCAGGUAAAGGUGUCUGUUACAACUAUUCCCAGUCCAGAAGUGCAGAACAGUGCUCAGACAGCUGCAGUGUCCUAUGCAGAUGUGGUAAAGAGAGGUGUUCGCUCAGCAUGUGUGUCAGAUGCUAAAGUACAGCAGGUAAUCCAGACUGAACCCCAGGUAACUCUGCAAAUGCAGCAUGAUGGAGAAGCUCCAGGACCAUCUCAUGUACAGGUUACAAACAGUGAAAGUCAUCCACGAGUGAGUAGCAUCUGUGCAUCCCGAAGCCAGGCCUCUGCUAAGUAUGGAAAGUACAGGAAUCAGCAAUGCAUGGCGAACAGUUUGGUUUUCCUGUCAUUCUUACACGAGGAUGAAUUCAUUACCAGAGCAGAUCUAAACCGUGUGUUGGAUAAAGGCCAUGCUGUGUAUUCAGAUGCCAGAAAGAGGUUUGUGAACAGCGUGUUCCUCGCCUGUGAUGAGCUUCCCACAGUGGUCACCAGCCGCAGACACCAGUAUCAAGUGGAUAUGUCUCAGUUUGCUCAUUACGGCACAUUUGAUGGUACAGCUCACCUUCCGAGCCUUGAACAGGGACUACAGUGUUUGGCUUCAGCGGUUUGCUAUGCUUUGCUAGUCAUGGGAGGAACAGUCAUCGCAGUUUGCAGGCUGACUUCAGGUGAAUAUGCAUACUUUGACCCUCACCCACGUAAGUCUACAGGAAUGCCAUUGUCGCUAGCUGUAAGUGGUGGAACUGCAGUUAUGUUAAAAUUCACACGUCUUAACGACAUGAUUGACAGGAUCAAACGCUUGUACCGAAUGUUUAGCAUCGCACCAACCUGCACUUAUGAGCUACAGCCUGUCGAGUUUCACAGUGAAAACGCAGCUGACCAAACAGAUGCUGAUGAAAACAGACAAACAGCUACAACUGUUCCAGCACCAGCUUUAAAUGAACCUGAAUUUGAAACCCCAAAAUCCACUGAGCAAACACAGAAAACUGUGACCCACACUUUAGCCACUGAAGUGAUGUCAUCCAGAGUGGAUUAUUCAAAUGAGCCAGCCGCUGAGCUGAACAAUUGUCCUUCUGAUUAUUUAGAAAUAGAAACCUCUGCAUCUUCUGUAAGAGACACUCAGGUAACAAAAGAAUCUGUUCCUCAGAAUGAUUUAAACACUGCCUCCUGUUUAACUAAGACAACAGAGGAACUCUCACAUAAACUGUUGAAGCGUAAUAAACAGCAAAGGAGAAAGAUUAGGAGACGAUUAUUGGUCCAAGAAAAACUACCACAGAGAAAGGAAAAUGAGAAAAAGAAAGAAAGACAGACGUACACUUUUGAUGAAAGCUUUAAGGCAAAGAAAAAAGAUUCUAGUAGAAAGUCUCAUGAUUCUGAUCACAGUAAGAAAAAGAGUGUGUACAAAAAUAAUCUGUAUAAACUCAAUGCUACAUAUAGAGAGAAACAGAGAGAAUAUUUGAGAAAAAUCUAUAGAGAUAGUGCUAAAAUUAGAGAGAGAAAAAGAGAACGUGUCAUAAGGAUGUAUAAAGAAGAUUCUUUAUUCCGAGAAAAGCAGAAGGAACGUAUAACAAGAACAUAUAGAGAAUCUACCAUUUUCCGAGAAAAGCAGAAGGAACGU
Long non-coding RNA from Oreochromis niloticus (Nile tilapia), 1686 nucleotides. NCBI's taxonomy places the organism in Eukaryota, Metazoa, Chordata, Actinopteri, Cichliformes, Cichlidae. The record is from Ensembl.